This 1478-nucleotide long non-coding RNA is filed under the name Triticum aestivum (bread wheat). RNAcentral's name for it is "long non-coding RNA (TAES_LNC027861)". The record is from RNAcentral. Lineage: Eukaryota; Viridiplantae; Streptophyta; Magnoliopsida; Poales; Poaceae.
GUGUGUGCGUGCAUGUGUGGCGUGGUGGUGUGAGUUAGCUAGCUAGGUGAGUGCAUGACCGGUAGGAUAGACUUCUGGAUAGGUUGUUGGCUGGAUGUGAUUUAGCAGCCUACAUGCAAGGAGUCAGUUGGUUAGUGAGCUAGCCAUGCACGGUAGUUAGCAGCCACAGGUGAAGUUGGCCGCGUCGUGCGCAUGAAAAACAAGGGCGUUGCGCUGCUGGGGACUAUAAAAGGCCUGGCCUCGUGUGUGUGUUGUAUCGGGGGAGCUGUGUUGUAAGCCAUGUAGCCGGGAGACUGAGUACGUGCUUAGGGAAGAAAGAAUACGCCGUUCGUGCGGCGGGGCGGAGUUCGUGCUCCGGGCAAAAACCUCUGUCCAUCUCCCUUUCUCAUUGGUUCGAGCCACCGCGUCACAUAGAGAGCGAGGGCGAGGGCAGCGCGGCAACAACAAUUGGUAUACGGAGCCACAAGGUUCGAGGGGCGGCCGUGGCGCGCGGCGGCGUUCGCGGCGCGCGCGGUGCGCGGCGGAUAUGAAGGUCUUGGCAAUGGCACGCGGCGAGCGCAUGGCGUCGGCAACGCGCGGCGAGUCCACGGCGGUGCGGCGUGAUGCCGUGCGCGCAGCGAGCGCGUGGCGUCGGCAACGUGCGGCGAGUCCGCGACGAUGUGGCGUGAUGCCGUGCGCGCUACGAGCAGCGGCGGUCACGGAGACGAGGAGGUCGCGGAGGACCUGCGUGGUGGUGCAGAGGCCGCGGCGGCUCGGCGCAACGACCGUGGAGGUGCUGUGCUGCGGUUAACGGCGCAGCGGUGCAGGGCAAUAAGCACGGCGGCGAGUCGGGCGCGACCGGUGCGUGUUAUGGGUGCGCACUGGACGCGUCGGGCGCGUCAGGACCGCGGGAGUGGACCGCGUCGAGGCGCUGGACCUGGUUGCGCAGAUCGCGUACGUGCGCGGCGGGAGCGCGGGGACGUGGGGAGUGCGCGCGAAGGGCACGCCGGCACGGUGGCGUGACGAAGGCAGCGGAGAACUGACCGCGUCGAGGCGCUGGACUCGGGCCGUGGCGACUGCGUGCGUGCGCGUCGUGUACACGAGCCUAGGAGCGCGGGACGUGGGGUGCUGCACGACGGAGGCCACAGCGGCGCGGUGCGACGGCCAUGGCGCGACGUUGACAACGAGCCUGACAUGUGCAAGGUCAUAAUUUGGGGCGUGAAUGUUAGCAGCAGGCCAUGUCCAUGUGUGUGUGCAUGCAUGUGUGGCGUGGUGGUGUGAGUUAGCUAGCUAGGUGAGUGCAUGACCGGUAGGAUAGACUCCUGGAUAGGUUGUUGGUUGGAUGUGAUUUAGCAGCCUACAUGCAAGGAGUCAGUUGGUUAGUGGGCUAGCCAUGCACGGUAGUUAGCAGCCACAGGUGAAGCUGGCCGCGUCGUGCGCAUGGAAAACAAGGGCGUUGCGCUGCUGGGGAUUACAAAAGGCCUGCCUCGUGUGUGUGU